RNAcentral lists this transfer RNA (74 nucleotides) under Bacteroidota bacterium. Its description in RNAcentral is "Bacteroidetes bacterium (activated sludge metagenome) tRNA-His". It matches the Rfam family "tRNA". From Rfam's summary of the family: Transfer RNA (tRNA) molecules are approximately 80 nucleotides in length. Their secondary structure includes four short double-helical elements and three loops (D, anti-codon, and T loops). Lineage: Bacteria; Pseudomonadati; Bacteroidota. The record is from RNAcentral.
GUGGGCAUAGCUCAAUUGGUUAGAGCGCCAGAUUGUGGCUCUGGAGGCUGUGGGUUCAAUCCCCAUUGCUCACC